Molecule: ribosomal RNA, 264 nt
Filed under: uncultured bacterium
Lineage: Bacteria
Description: partial 16S ribosomal RNA
Rfam family: Bacterial small subunit ribosomal RNA
Source: RNAcentral
CUUAGUGGCGGACGGGUGAGUAACGCGUGGGUAACCUGCCUUAUACAGGGGGAUAACAACCAGAAAUGGUUGCUAAUACCGCAUAAGCGCACAGGACCGCAUGGUCCGGUGUGAAAAACUCCGGUGGUAUAAGAUGGACCCGCGUUGGAUUAGCUAGUUGGCAGGGCAACGGCCUACCAAGGCGACGAUCCAUAGCCGGCCUGAGAGGGUGAACGGCCACAUUGGGACUGAGACACGGCCCAGACUCCUACGGGAGGCAGCAUG